Molecule: small nucleolar RNA, 130 nt
Organism: Cornus florida
Lineage: Eukaryota; Viridiplantae; Streptophyta; Magnoliopsida; Cornales; Cornaceae
Product: small nucleolar RNA snoR74
Exons: 1
Source: RefSeq, a predicted model, not a curated record
AAAAAAGCAGGGAUCUGUUGCCUAUUGUGGACUGGUCUCUCGUAAACUUCAGGGAAAUGAAAUUGCAUUGUUAUUGGGUGAACCUCUGGAGUGAUUUGUGAAGGAAGGUUCAGUAAACGAUGGAACAUUA